CGAAUACUCUGCAGCUUUUCAAAUGCAGGUUGCAGGGUUGGGGUUGAAGUUGAGAAGAGUCCUGCUUAAUCCUGGUUCCCUACUAUCCUUUUCUACCAAGAUGAGAAGAUUUCUGUGGCCAGGAGGAUGAGUGUUGCAGGAAGCAGCACUGAAAAUUCUCCAGACUGGUCCAAGAGGAAGACACUAAGCUGCAUGGCCCAGAAGGAAAACAUAACACAGGAUGGAAGAUAGAAACAAAGGAAUUAUAAUAGAUAAAAUUGUCAGGAUGAUCAACAGCUCAGGACAGAUAUAGACAGCACCAUGUGGGAGCAGCAAAAGGGUGAAAAAGGGUAAAGGAGGGGGAAAAAUGUAUUUUUAAU
Molecule: long non-coding RNA, 359 nt
Filed under: Cyanistes caeruleus (blue tit)
Lineage: Eukaryota; Metazoa; Chordata; Aves; Passeriformes; Paridae
Description: lncRNA (ENSCCEG00000019526.1)
Source: RNAcentral